GUUGGGUUAGUGUAAUGGGUAACAUGCAUUCCCCUUUGAAGGGUGCUUGCUUCUCUGGGUUCAAAUCCCAGACCCGAAU
This is a transfer RNA of Aspergillus rambellii, 79 nucleotides long. It matches the Rfam family "tRNA". From Rfam's summary of the family: Transfer RNA (tRNA) molecules are approximately 80 nucleotides in length. Their secondary structure includes four short double-helical elements and three loops (D, anti-codon, and T loops). The record is from Rfam. Lineage: Eukaryota; Fungi; Ascomycota; Eurotiomycetes; Eurotiales; Aspergillaceae.